Long non-coding RNA from Anarrhichthys ocellatus (wolf-eel), 2302 nucleotides. RefSeq lists it as uncharacterized. The transcript is spliced from 2 exons. The record is from RefSeq and is a predicted model, not a curated record. Lineage: Eukaryota; Metazoa; Chordata; Actinopteri; Perciformes; Anarhichadidae.
UGUGUGUGUGUGUGUGUGUGUGUGUGUGUGUGUGUGUGUGUUUUAAAUCUAACCUCAACGGACCCUUUUCCAUCUCGGCAAGAGUCGGUCAUAAUGAAGGGAAAUAGUUUCGGAAAUAGGUUUCGACUUUACACUUUUUGAACCAACACAGUGUACGAAUUGGUUCCAACUCAUGUGAAUAGGUUUAGAAAGCGUAGAUGAAGGAAUUAUUCCUGGAACUCAUUCCCUCUGAUAGCAACACAAAAGAUGAGAGUAACGUUAACAUUACAGCCACAUCCACCUGGUAGAUGAUGUAAACCAUUGCAACUGAUCUCCUCAUAUGGUGCCAUCGGAGCGUCCUUUCAGCCAAGGACCUGGCACCCAGCACGGAGGGAGGGUAACUUCUAGGUGACUGCAUCUGUCUUGGAGGGCAGAAGUGGAUGAACCAGGUUUAAAGAGUUAACCACCUGUCAGGGACAAUCUAGUAAACCGAACCGACCCGCAACAAAGCAGGGAUCAUUUCAUUGGUCAACACUGCACCUGGCAUUCCAUUGGUUGGGGAAUUUUGACUGGGUUAUUGCACAGAAGAGCAGAGGGGAAAUCUGGGAUCAGACGUUUCACGAGCACACAGAAGCAGCCUGGGUAUGAGGAGAAGGCCUGAAGCUGGAGCACAGGAAAUCUAUGCAAGCAACAAUAUAUCUGCAAUAUCCAUAUGUCAACCGCAAGCGAGGGCUAUUUGAGUGCGACGACGGGGAUUUGAGGGAAAGCAUUACAAAAUCUGAACGUGAAAUCAAUAAGUCGUGCGCUCAGAUUGAAAGACUACGCUCUUGAAUGAGAGGAAAAAGCUCCAUACAAAAUCAACUUCUCAACAAGAGAUAUUAGUGGUCCUUCAGUCUACAUCUAGCAUCUAAAAUUGGAAGUAGCUCUCAGUAUAACAGCACCACAAACUGCAUCCUCUGGAAUCAGCACCCCUUUAAAACUGUUUCAACAUUUUACCUUGAUGAAGGAAGGAUUUAUUGUUGGACUCGACUGCAUUAGCUUUAGUUCGGUGUACCUAAUAAACAGGCAACUGAGUGUACAUCUUGAAUCCGGCACAGACCUUGAGCUUGAAUAUUUGGCUGUCCUCCCUGCCCAAGUUGCCGUGCAUAAAAAGCUUUUCCUGUCUUUAAAUGAUCCAAGUGUGGAUGGCGGCAUUCCAAAUCUGGACCCGGGAACCAAAUCAAACUGUGUGUUCUGUUGGAGGGGCCAGGGGGGGUCAGUUUGAAAUUCAGGGACUACUUCAUACACUAUGCAUGAGGCAUCAUUUCCCAUCACACUGUUGUAUGCGAGUGUGGCAAUACCUACGCACACUGCCGCCACACACUGCACAUGCAUACGCCUGCACACACGUCAACGCGUGCACAAACUACGGCGAACACAGUCGGAGCCACUUUCAUGCACAUAUGCAGAUACACACUGUCCCCCCUUUUAUGUCUCGGGACGUGAGUGGAACAGUAAAGCUAAAUCCCCAUGUCACAUUUGCCGCUCAUCUCCAAUUCAAUGGCACCGGCUGCGAUGCCCUCGGAUGCACUUGGCAAGUGAACAGCUAACCUGCCCGCCAGCAUAUCUGCCUGCCAGCCAGCCAGCCGAGCCCCGAGGUAGUUAGCAUGCCAACUAGCCCACCCAGCAGCCACACGCUAAUGCUCCACUAACCCUGGGUUGCCCUGUGUCUUUCUCUGUGGCUUUGUGUUUGUAUGUGUGUUGACGCAAGAGGUGUUUAGUUGUCAAUCAGUGUUUCGUACACUGCACAAGUAGACGAUUCCAAAUGCAUUUCCAUCCAUCCAUUGUCUUCCAGUAACGGUUCAUACACUUGUUUCAUUUUAAUACACCACUCUGGAUUCUUUAGCACUGUGUUUUUAGAUUUUAAGCCCAGUGUAAGUACCCAGCUUAAGUUUCACUUUAUUUAACAGUCUGUCUCACUCCUCUCACUCGCGUGUCCAUAGCUGUCUUCCAGCAACAGAUCACAUGACACAUUAACAGACCGGAUCAAGUGAAAGAGCUCACUGACGAAUCAUGGCUGAGAAUCCCAAAGAAAGCAGGAGGAGAAGAAGUCAAGAAGGACAGAGCAUCAAAUCUUCUCCUUCUCCGAUCCAUCCAUCCAUUUAUUUAUUCACCAUCACUGAAUAACUCCCCCUCCUUCCCAAUCCCCGUCCUCCUUUGGGUUUUGAGUGUAUUAUCUUGACAUGUCACUCCAGAGUGUAUGAUGUGUUGAUUUAUUGUCAUGUUGCGGCGGCACACCCCUGCCGUCGCUGAAAUAAAUCCCGGUGGUCCGGUGAUGAUGAGA